Molecule: ribosomal RNA, 429 nt
Filed under: Gemmatimonadota bacterium
Lineage: Bacteria; Pseudomonadati; Gemmatimonadota
Description: Gemmatimonadetes bacterium partial 16S ribosomal RNA
Rfam family: Bacterial small subunit ribosomal RNA
Source: RNAcentral
UAGGGAAUCUUCGGCAAUGGACGAAAGUCUGACCGAGCAACGCCGCGUGAGUGAAGAAGGUUUUCGGAUCGUAAAACUCUGUUGUUAGAGAAGAACAAGGACGUUAGUAACUGAACGUCCCCUGACGGUAUCUAACCAGAAAGCCACGGCUAACUACGUGCCAGCAGCCGCGGUAAUACGUAGGUGGCAAGCGUUGUCCGGAUUUAUUGGGCGUAAAGCGAGCGCAGGCGGUUUCUUAAGUCUGAUGUGAAAGCCCCCGGCUCAACCGGAGAGGGUCAUUGGAAGCUGGGAGACUUGAGUGCAGAAGAGGAGAGUGGAAUUCCAUGUGUAGCGAUGAAAUGAGUAGAUAUAUGGAGGAACACCAGUGGCGAAGGCGGCUCUCUGGUCUGUAACUGACGCUGAGGCUCGAAAGCGUGGGGAGCAAACAGG